This 429-nucleotide ribosomal RNA is filed under the name Chloroflexota bacterium. RNAcentral's name for it is "Chloroflexi bacterium partial 16S ribosomal RNA". It matches the Rfam family "Bacterial small subunit ribosomal RNA", at positions 355 to 776 of the family's 1533-position model. The record is from RNAcentral. Lineage: Bacteria; Bacillati; Chloroflexota.
UGGGGAAUAUUGCACAAUGGGCGCAAGCCUGAUGCAGCCAUGCCGCGUGUAUGAAGAAGGCCUUCGGGUUGUAAAGUACUUUCAGCGGGGAGGAAGGGAGUAAAGUUAAUACCUUUGCUCAUUGACGUUACCCGCAGAAGAAGCACCGGCUAACUCCGUGCCAGCAGCCGCGGUAAUACGGAGGGUGCAAGCGUUAAUCGGAAUUACUGGGCGUAAAGCGCACGCAGGCGGUUUGUUAAGUCAGAUGUGAAAUCCUCGGGCUCAACCUGGGAACUGCAUCUGAUACUGGCAAGCUUGAGUCUCGUAGAGGGGGGUAGAAGUCCAGGUGUAGCGGUGGAAUGCGUAGAGAUCUGGAGGAAUACCGGUGGCGAAGGCGGCCCCCUGGACGAAGACUGACGCUCAGGUGCGAAAGCGUGGGGAGCAAACAGG